AAGUCGUAACAAGGUUUCCGUAGGUGAACCUGCGGAAGGAUCAUUACCGAGACUGCCCCUUAGGGGGCGACCUCCCACCCGUGAUUAUUUACCGAUGUUGCUUUGGCGGGCGGCGGGCUCCGGCCCACCACAUGCCCGUCAGAGGACCCAAACAUUCUUGUUUUUCUGAUGCAGUCUGAGUAACGUUAUAAUUACUAAAA
RNAcentral lists this unclassified non-coding RNA (200 nucleotides) under plant metagenome. RNAcentral describes it as "partial contains small subunit ribosomal RNA and internal transcribed spacer 1". The stretch from base 1 to 46 matches the Rfam family "Eukaryotic small subunit ribosomal RNA", at positions 1786 to 1831 of the family's 1831-position model. The record is from RNAcentral.